Molecule: ribosomal RNA, 465 nt
Filed under: uncultured bacterium
Lineage: Bacteria
Description: partial 16S ribosomal RNA
Rfam family: Bacterial small subunit ribosomal RNA
Source: RNAcentral
CCUACGUGAGGCAGCAGUAGGGAAUUUUCCACAAUGGGCGAAAGCCUGAUGGAGCAACGCCGCGUGGGUGAAGAAGGUCUUCGGAUCGUAAAACCCUGUUGUUAGAGAAGAAAGUGCGUGAGAGUAACUGUUCACGUUUCGACGGUAUCUAACCAGAAAGCCACGGCUAACUACGUGCCAGCAGCCGCGGUAAUACGUAGGUGGCAAGCGUUAUCCGGAUUUAUUGGGCGUAAGGGGAACGCAGGCGGUCUUGUAAGUUUGAUGUGAAAGCCUUCGGCUUAACCGGAGUAGUGCAUUGGAAACUGGGAGACUUGAGUGCAGAAGAGGAGAGUGGAACUCCAUGUGUAGCGGUGAAAUGCGUAGAUAUAUGGAAGAACACCAGUGGCGAAAGCGGCUCUCUGGUCUGUAACUGACGCUGAGGUUCGAAAGCGUGGGUAGCAAACAGGAUUAGAUACCCUUGUAGUC